GGUGUCACGUCAGUGGUUUUACCCUAUGGUAGGUGACAUCAUGCUGUUCUACCACAGGGUAGAACCACGGACGGGAUGU
This is a non-coding RNA of Xiphophorus maculatus (southern platyfish), 79 nucleotides long. The record is from Rfam. NCBI's taxonomy places the organism in Eukaryota, Metazoa, Chordata, Actinopteri, Cyprinodontiformes, Poeciliidae.